CUUAUUUUCAGAGGAGUACAACAAAAAGAAACAUAACAUCAUGCCCUUCUGCUGGACCAAAAACAGAACAAAACAAAGAGACACAAUUACUCAUGGACACGACCACGUUUGCUUGCAACAGGUAAUUCAAAGUUAGGGCCUUCAAAAAUCAGAGUUUAAGUCCAACUGAAAGCAAUGGGACUAGUAACCUUAUGUUUCCCAUCCGACCAUUCCAGAUAAGCAAAGCUGGUUGUUCCAGAAGGCUUUGAAGAAGACAUGAAUGUAACUGUGUAGUUCUUCUUCUCGUUAAGUCCCCUGAAACUAAGUGUUUGAGGUUGAACCACAAUCUUCACCGGAGACUGCGACACCGAAACUUUAUACGUUCC
Molecule: long non-coding RNA, 365 nt
Filed under: Glycine max (soybean)
Lineage: Eukaryota; Viridiplantae; Streptophyta; Magnoliopsida; Fabales; Fabaceae
Description: long non-coding RNA (GMAX_LNC001165)
Source: RNAcentral